GUCGGGAUAACUAAGUUGGUAGAGAAGAGGAAUGGAAAUCCUUGUGCCACUAGUUCAAAUAUGGUUCUUGGCA
Molecule: non-coding RNA, 73 nt
Organism: Picea glauca (white spruce)
Lineage: Eukaryota; Viridiplantae; Streptophyta; Pinopsida; Pinales; Pinaceae
Source: Rfam